AAUUAGCUAAACAAAGAAAUCAUGGCGGAUUGUUUACAUUUGGCAGCGCCCGGGCUGCGCCGACCGCCGGCCCCGAGCCGCCGCGGGCCCCGAGGAGUCGGCCGAGCUGCUCCCGCGCCCUGGCCGGCUGGGUCUUCAUCCUCAUUGUACUCCCUUGGCAUCUCAUGGUGACGUGACUUAGAAGGUGGUGCAGAGGGACUUACCAAUUUGGGAUUCUUCCAGGAGCUGAAAACUGAUUACAAAUAUGAAACAGAUUUCACUACAGGACUUGAACCCUACAUUAAAAAACAACAAGCUCUCCAAAAUAAUUGAAAAAGAUCUUCACCAAAGAGUAGCUGCAAUGUGAAUGGCAGGAUAUGAAGCAAGUAAGAGAUGGUGAAAAGAUUAUCUUAAGCUUGGAAUUAAGUGAUGAAAGGGACCUUAGAAAUGAUCAACUCUAAAUACUUCUUUACAGGAAAAUUGAAAGCAGUUAAGAACCUGCCCCCUGCCAUGGAGUUCUUGGUGCCGUGAGUUGGAGUUUUUGGUGCCUGGGUGCAUCCCCAAGG
This 545-nucleotide long non-coding RNA is filed under the name Pongo abelii (Sumatran orangutan). RNAcentral describes it as "lincRNA". The record is from RNAcentral. Lineage: Eukaryota; Metazoa; Chordata; Mammalia; Primates; Hominidae.